AUUAUUUACAAAUCAUUGUCCGAAAGCUAGUGCAAAAGGAAGCACAUGUUUGUUGUGAAAAUAAAUUUUUGGAUUAGAAAAAACUUGUUUGGUACUUCGGAUAUAUUCGACACCAUUUGGUAAUAGGAUAAAUUUUCUUGUUUCACAAGAAGACUAAAACUCUUGGAUUUAGUGAUGCUGAAGACUUUUACAAGAAAACAUACGUGUGUGAGCAAUACUAUUGCUGGAUUUUGACUAGGAAUUCCUUCCCAGUAUCUAUAUCUGUGUGUGUAUUUGUAUAGUGAUGCAAUAUAUUGAAGCCAAAAGUUAAUACGAACGAAUUUACAUGUACAGUGUGUUUUUUUCCAGAUGUAAUUAUGAUCUGCAGUUAAAUGUUGCUGGAUUACUGGUUGAUUUAUGGAUUUAUUUUCCCAGCUGCAUAAGAUUGGAAUUUUGAGAUUCUUACUCCAGUAAAACUGUUGGAAGUUAUAUUUUGUUUGAAAACUGUUCUUUCUAGUAUGAUAAUACAUACAUAAAGGAAUCGAUAUUGCAAAUUUAUGGAAUAUUAUUAGAUAUUUAUUGUGUAUAGGUCUGUUUAUUAAAGAACAUUCUUUAA
This is a long non-coding RNA of Mytilus trossulus (common blue mussel), 595 nucleotides long. RefSeq lists it as uncharacterized. The transcript has 2 exons. NCBI's taxonomy places the organism in Eukaryota, Metazoa, Mollusca, Bivalvia, Mytilida, Mytilidae. The record is from RefSeq and is a predicted model, not a curated record.